CCUAAUCACCAGUGUAAUGGGAGGUGGGAUCUUGGAUCAUGCUGGGCCUCAUGGAAUUUGAGGCCUUAUAACAAAGACCUCAUAGAGCUACCUUGUCCCACCCACCAUGGAAGAUACAACAAGAAGGUGACAUCUACGAACCAGAAUGUGGCCCUUGUCAGACAUCAAAUCUGCCAGUGCCUUGGUCUUGGACUUCCCAUUAUCUGGAACUGUAAGAAGUAAGUUUCUGUUGCUUAUAAGCCACCCCUUCUAUGGUAACUUGUUAUAGCAACUGAAAUGGACUAAGAUGGUAGUAAUACAGGAGAAUGUUCUUAUUUUAGGCUAAAAUUUUCAUGAAGUGUCAUGAUGUUGGCAACUCAUUUUAAAAUGGUUUGGAAAAAUGCACAUGUGCAUUGUUUGUGUAUAUUGAGGCAGCAAAGAUAUGGCAAAAUGGUAAUUGCUGAACCUGUGUGAAAGGUAUGUGGAUUCUCUAUUGUUCUUCCAAUGAUUCUGUAGAUUCGCAUUUUUUUUUUAAAUGAAAAUUUGAGGGCUGGGGAUAUGGCUCAAGUGGUAGCGCGCUCGCCUAGCAUGCGUGAGGCACUGGGUUCGGUUCUCAGCACCACAUAAAAAUAAAAUAAAGAUAUUGGGUCCACCUACAACUAAAAAAAUAUUAAAAAAAAGAAGAAAAGUUGAAGAGAAACAGCAAACGGACUAGCUUUUGGGAUGAUGGGAGGAGAUGAAGCAGGGGCUGCAGAAUUGGGAAGAACAAAGUAUCAGGGAAAUAAAGAGGAAACAGAAGGAGUACAAAUAACAAUUUUAAAAAACAUUUAGUAAUGGACUUGGGGGGAAAAUGAGAAAGGCAAAGUAGAAUGGGAGAAGUUAACGAAGGAGCAGAAGAUUCAGCACCUACAAAAUUGAAGCCGCCAAGAUGGGUGCAGUGGCACAAGCCUGUAAUCCCAGCAGCUUGAGAGGCUGAGGCAGGAGGAUGGCGAAUUCAAAACCCGGCCUCAGCAAAAGCGAGGCACUAAGCAAUUAGUGAGACCCUGUCCGUAAAUACAAUACAAAACGGGUGGGGAUGUGACUCAGUGGUUGAGUGCUCCUGAGGUCAAUCCCCAGUACCCUUCCACACCAAAAAAUUGAAGCCUCCAAAGCAGAAAAUCAAAAUUUGAUAGAAACACGAACAGCUGGAAUAAAGAUAUAAUUUUCUAGAAUAACAAAGACAUUAUACCAUAUAUCAGGGGAAAUUAAUUAUACCAUAUAUCAGGGGAAAUUAUCAGGAGGGUCACCUUAGAGAUACUUACAUUCUAGUAAAGUCAUUACACUUCAAAGAUAAUGAUCAAGUCAUUUAUAGGGAAGAAAAUCAGGCUGGUCUCAGUUUUGUACAGUGACUUUCAAUGCCAGAAGAUGGUGUGAUACUUUAAAAGAUCUUCAAGGAAAAAAAGUGUUGCACAAAGAAUGUAUAUCCAGGACAGGCGGGGGAUGGGGGCGAUUAGUGGUACAGUGUCCCUGGGUUCAAUCCCUGGUACCUCCCAAAAUAAAAUAAAAAGUAAUAGCUAGAAGAAAAAGAAAAACUUGCCAAAAGUUGAGAAUUAUUUAUAGAAACAAAGAAAAUGGAUUAUAUAGUGAUAGCUUUUUAUUUAUUUGGUACUGGAGAUUGAACCCAGGGGUACCUUACUGCUGAACUACAUCCUCAGCUCUUAUUUUUUUAUUUUGAGACAGGGUCUCAAAUUGCUUAGGGCUUGGCUAAAUUGCUGAGGCUGGCCUCAAACUUGUGAUCCUUCUGCCUCAGCCCUCUGAAUCACCGAUUAUAGAUAUUUGCCACUGUACCUGGCUAGUGAUAGCUUUUUAAAAUUGCAAAAACAGAAAGUAUAACAAUGUUAAUAUGACAGAACUAAGGCUGUUAUAUUUGACAUAUCACUAGAUGUUGAAGCAAGAUUAAUUCACCUCUUAAGAGAAAAAAAAAAGAUAAUCAGAUUGAAUCUCUAGGCAGCACCCACCUUUAUCCUGUGCUCAGACAAGUGGCUGCUUAAGACAAAGUGUUUUCAGAAACGUUGAGAAAAGAAAGAAAGAAAGAAAGAAAGAAAGAAAGAAAAAGGCCGCAGGUCAUAUUGUUUUUAUUGUUGUUGUUUUUGUUGUUCCUUUUUUCUUUUGAGGUGCUAGAGAUUAAAGCUUGGGCCUUGCGCAUGCAAAGCAUGCGCUUUACCUCUGACCUCCACCUCCAGCGCUGGUCAUAAUUUUAAUAUCACAUAUGGUGGAGAUGAAGAAAAGCACUUUAUAAUGGGAAUCACAAUAAGGAUUCUAGUUAUGAUAUCUAUAUAUCAAAUUCCAAAGCACAAUAUUUAUGAAUCUAAAAUUACAGAAAAAACAGGUGAGCAAACAAGGAGUAGAAGAGUUUAAUUUGCCUCUCUAAUCAAAGAUAGAUCAGUUGGAAAAAAUAAAUUGAAUACCUAAACAUCAUAUUUAGAGAAGCAGGUUCAGGUCCAUAAUCUCUUUUCCAAAGCACUGCAAUUUUUCAAUGUUUGGAAAGAUGAUAUUGUACAUAUAGACUAUGUAACAUUUCAAUUGGAUCCAUAGUCAAACAUAUUGAUAUUUCUGCAAUAAAUCAUGAUGAGGUAAAUGACAAUGAUAAAUAGCCUCCGAUCAGUUCAGAAUUGGAUUUACUAUCAAAAGACUUAAAAAACUUUCAGAUUUUAGGACGUUUUGGAUUUAGGAAUUGCAGAGUUGGGAAGCUAUGUAUUUGGUUCCACAUAAAGGAAAACUUUUAACAUAUAACUGUCUAAAAAAGAAGUACCUUGGGAGUGCCUGCUACUGGGGCUGGGGUGGGUGGGACAGGUCCUAGCGGAGAUGACCAGUUUUCAAAUGAUUCAAGCAUCAAGUGGGAAGCUGAACAAGGAGACUACUACCGAGUUUUUUUUUUUUUUCUAACCUGAGAUUCUAGGGUCACACUAGUUGAGGGAGAGGUGGGUUAGAGAAAGGGCAUGAUCCAGGCAUAGUGGUACACGCCUGUAAUCCCAAUGAUUUGAGAGGCUGAGGUAGGAAGAUCACAAGUUCAAGGCCAGCCUGGGCAAAUUAGGGAGACCCUGUCUCAAAAAAAAAAAAAGGCUGGGGUGUAGUUCAGCGGUAGAGCGUUCAUGGGUUCAGUUCCUAGUACCAGAGAGAUUGAAAGAGAGAGAGAGUGGGGAUGAGAAGAGGGGUUGUCACAAUCCUAAGCUUUCACUGUUAUAUGUCUGUUGAAUUUUAAAGCAAAAUGGCACCUGUCCAGUGUUCUCACAUGUGGUUGGGAAAUGUGUACACAAGCUACUAAAUCAGUGAAGAUAACAGGCAAGGAACAUUUUAUAACUCUCAGAGGUUGGAUCCCAUGUGGUGAAAGAUGGUAGCAGAGGGGCUUUCAGAGACCAGCUACCCUGUCCUCAUGCUAUUCAUGGCUGGACACUCCUAAGAUGCUUCUGAAUUCUCUGUUCCACAAAACACAUUUGUAAAUGUCUGAAUUUAGGCCUGCAUGGCUGGGGCCACAGCCUGUUCAGGUGGUGGGCCAGUGAUUCUGAUAAUAGAGAACUUGGCCCAGCUCAGAGAUCUUAGUUGGUUGCUGGGGAGGGACGGUGGUGGUUAAAGGGCUUUAGGAAUGCCUGACUUGGUGAUUAUGAGCUGGAACCGGAAGUGGGAAGACAGCCCUUCAGUGCUGGUUGAUGCUACUUGCUGUGUUGGUGACCUCUUUGUGGUGCACAGGGCUUCCUGCGUGUUGUCUCUGUUCAUUCCUUUUUAAUACUAUUUGUGCUGGGGAUUGAACCCAGGGCCUCAUGCAUAAGCUCUACCACUGAACAAGCCCCCUUUUGCCCUUUUAAAACUCAUUCUGUCUCCAUAAAAUAACUAUCAGUGUUGCCUUUCAUUUACUGAGGAAGUUCUUUCAAUUAUCCUCUUGGAGUCACUCAAGCUGUGAUUAUUGCCACACUCUCUAUGUUCCCACACCACUCAACCUGGAAAACGGUGUGUGAGCUUUACUCUCUGAAGCCUUUCUGACCCCCUUUACAAAAUCAGGCAAACACUCAGUGGCAAGAGAACAAAGUACACAAGAGGGCAGAGAGCAAUAGGACCACAGGGUCAAAAGUCCUUCCAACAUUGAUUUCUUUCCACUCAAACAAAGUAAGACAAGUUGCACUGGCUCAUUUUAUUUAGAAAAUAAAGAUAAGCGCGACAAAGAAAACAAAGAUCUCACCACCUGGAGAUAAGUACUGUUGAUGUUUUCAGCGGGUGGUUUUUAACUGGGUAGCCAGGAGCCCCAGGAUUCUGUGGUGGUGCUUCCAAGACCCCCAAAAUGGCAAUUAGAAUUUAAUCAAAGAAGUAUAAGAGAUUUUGAACAUAUAAAGCUGCAAUAAACAAAUGUACAGGCAAGGUGGGGAUCAGCGAUAAUCUCACCUAGAUGUAUGAACACAUGUGUCCCUGGGUCAGCCUCCGGUGCAGGCCCUCCUGCUGUCCCUGUGUUUAUCUGCAGAUGCCGAUUGGCUUGAAUCUAGGAGUCAGGAGACUGGAGCAGGUAGAGCUGCAGGGAACCAGAAGGCUCAGGGCCUGCCCUUCUGCAUCUGUACAUCUACCUCACUGAGAGGUCACAGGCUGUGCAACAAGAAACAAUUCUGUAACACACAGCAGUGUGGUCCCAUGGUAUUCUGGAUCAUUUUUAGCAUUCCUCUUUCAUUUUAUUAUGAGGCAUGAUAAAUACUUCUAAAUAGAAAUACUUAUCAAGAAGUGGUGGGAUAAUAAUGCUGAAUUCUACCUCUCCCAUUCCCAAGGCCACAGUGUCCUACAUCCUGUGGCUCCUCUUGCGCCUGGCUGGUAAACUAUCUCAUUCCUUUAGAAUAGGAUCCAGAAUGGGGGCUGGGGACAUAGCUUAAUUGGUAGAGUGCUUGCCUUGCAUGUACAAGGACCUGGGUUCAACCCCUAGCACCACAAGGAGAAAAAAAAAGGAUCCAGAAAUCCAAGGGAAAGAUGCAUGAGGGUACUCAGUUCCACCCUGCCCUCUAGUCCUGGGAAUUGAACCCAGGGUUGCUUUAUGAUUGAGCUUCAUUCCUUUUGUAUUUUGUACUUUGAGACAGGGUCUUGCUUAGUUGCCAAGGCUGGCCUUGAACUUGAGAUCCUUUUGCCUCAGUCAUCCAAAUUGCUGGGAUCACAGGUGCAUGCUGCCAUGACUGGCUGUAUACUCAGUGUUUAAAUGGAAAUGCAAAACAGAAAACUAACUUCCUUCCUUCCUUCCUUCCCUCCUUUUCUUUGUACUGGGAGUUGAAUCCAGGAGUGCUCUACCAUUGUGCUAUCUCCCCAGCCCUUUUUAAAAAAAAAUUAAAAAUUUGGGAUAGAAUCUCAUUAAGUUGCUGAGGCGGGCAUGGAAUUUGCAAUCCUCCUGCCUCAGCCUCCAGAAUGGCUGGGAUUACAGGUAUGUGCCAUCAUGUUCAAGCUGGAAUCUUUUUUUUAAAAUUUAUUUUAUUUUUUUUUUUAGUUACCGGCAGACACAACAUCUUUGUUGGUAAUGUGGUGCUGAGGAUCGAACCCGGGCCGCACGCAUGCCAGACGAGCGCGCUACCGCUUGAGCCACAUCCCCAGCCCUAGCUGGGUUCUUGAAGGCUUUCAAGACUAUGAUCUCAGCAGAUCUGGGCUGGAGAAAUCAGAGGAGAAGUUGAAAAGUUCCUGCACCCAGUCCCCAUUAUGCCACCCAGACUGGGGGCAGAUACUUGAGUACAUCUGGGGACUCUGAUAAGGACUGUGCUCCUUCCCAGGCACAGCCUGAGGAAAUUGGCUGAGAUCCUAGUGUCCUCUCCACUUGUGUAGGGAGGGGAGGAUGGCACAUCUGGGCUGAGAGGGCCCAAGAUAGCCAGUCCUCCCUGAGCUCCCUGCAGCCCUCACAGCAUGCACCUGCCAGGAUCUGAAGGGACUGCUGCUGGGUCAGGAUGAGGAGAAGCGGGUGGUGCACAGGCUGAGAUUGUGGGAAGAAUGUUCUGGGUGGAGGGAAUAGCUCUGGGGUGGAGGUUCUGGGCUGGGGGCUCAUUUGGCAGGCUGGCAGCAAGAAGGGGUGGGACCAGGCAGUGAAGCAGCCAAGGGAGGGACAGAGUAAUAGGUGGUGAGGAAGGAGAGGGGUCUGGCUACUAGGCAUAGUAGUCGUGUAGUCCAGGGAGAGGACCCUAAGUUUAUUCUCAGAGUUGGUGGGAAACCACUGAAAGUUUUGAAAAGGGAAGUGACAUGAUCUGGCAGCUUCACUCUAGCUGCUGUGUGGGAAAAUGCCUUCAGGAGAGCAAGAGCGGAAUUCUGCAGAUGAUCACGAUAAUCCAGACUGAGAAGCAGUUUGCCUGUUUCUAGCUGUGCGAUCUAAAGCUGCCCGCUGGCUGUGAGCACUUGAAAUGUGGCUGGUCUGAACUGAGAGACGCUGUAAGUGUCAACGACUUAGUACAGAUUUCAGAAGAUAAAAUAUCACAUGGAUGGUUUUUAAAAUAUUGAUUUCAUGCCAGGCAUGGUGGCUCAUGCCUAUAAUCCCAGCCUCUUGAGAGGCUGAGACAGGAGGAUCACAAGUUAGAGACCAGCCUCAGCAAUUUAUCGAGGCCCUAUGCAGUUUAGUGACACACUAGGGUGUGGCUCUGUGGUUAAGCACCCUGGGCUCAACUCCCAGGACUCCCCUUCUCCCCCCCAAAAUUGAUUACAAGUUGAAACCUAUUCAAAUAUUGAUUACAUGUUGAAAUGAUACUAUUCUGACUAUGUUAGGUAAGUUAAAAUGUAUUACCAAAAUUAAUCUCACCUUCAUUUUACGUCUCAAAUCUUGUGGAAGAUCUGAUCUUAAAACCGUGGCCCUGGUUGGGUUUCGGUUGGACACUGCGGGACCUGAGUGUUAACAGCAGAGUGCCCAGAAAUGGCGGGACUCUGCUUUGUCUCUGAAAGUCGCGGAGGAGUGCAGGGGAGAAGCGCUCAGGGCUGUGCAAGUUGUUCAUUGGUUUAUACAAAAUAGGGUUGCUGGGGAAGGAGCGAGUCUGGAGAAAGGAAACUCCUGAUUACGUUCAGAAAUGCGGAGGGAGAGAAGCGGGCAGUUCGAGGUUAUUCGUGUUGCGGGGGAUGGAGGUGACAGCUCCAGGGGAGGUCUGAGGCACUUCAGCUUUUAGAGAUAGGGAAAAGGGAGAAAGAGGCUGGGAAAGAAUGAGGAGGAGAGGCAGAAGCCCAGGAGGGUGGCUGGAGGAGGCGAGGCAUUGAGGGUGUGGCUAUGGGGCAUAUAUUUUGUAUCUGGAGAGUGGAGUCUCUGCUUUCUGAUCCCCUUGUGAGCCUUGUCCCUCUGCCACACCAUUAUGCCAUGAUGUUCUACCUUACUUCAAGCCCUGAGGAAUGGAGCUAGGGAUCAAACCCAGGGCUUCAAGGUAAGAGCUCUAUCAUGGAGCUAGCCUUCUAUGGACUAAGAUCUCUGAAACCAUGAGUCUUAUCCUCCUCUACAAUUGGGUCCUUUUAGUCCCAGAAGCAAAAAAAAAAAAAAAAAAAAAAAGAACACACACACACAAAACAUUUGGCAGCCCUUCUUGCGCACAGGAUUAAAAAUCCAAACUCUUUAGCAAGACCUUCCAUGAUUCGACCUGUUUUGGAAGCUUGCAGGAGCUCAACACUUUGUGGACAGGAGGAUUUUCUCUUUCCUUGAAUGUUUGUCACAUUUUUGUGUACACAGUGAAGGUGGUCAAGAAACAUCUGGAAGCCUAUCAGGGUAUUUUCCAUAUUCUGUUCAGUUCUUUGUGGCCUGUCUUGGCUUCUCUAUUGGAGAAUAGCUUCUGGAAGGUGGGGGCAGAGGUGGGUCUGGGUGUACCAGUCGGGCCCCCAGCUGCAGUGACAGCUUUCAGUGUUUAGACUUCUGAACAUUCAUGCCCCUGUCAGGUGUGGAUACAGGACCCAGGUUUAGAAAAGUGUUUUAUUAUGAGUGAAGGAUGCACAAGCAAAGUAAGAUGGGUUACUGCCCUCAGGGCCAGGGUCUGAGCCUCUCAGGCUCCUGCCUAGCCCCAGGCGAAUCCUCCAGCCUCCUGUUAAUUUGUGGGAAUCUCCUCUUCUUUCAACACCCCCUCCCCCAGUGCUUUUUGUUAAGGACAAGUAGAGGUGGUGCAUGCCUAUAAUCCCAGCCCCUCAGGAGCCUGGGCAGGAGGAUCACAAGUUCAAGGCUAGCCUCAGCAAAUUAGUGAGGUCCUGUCUCAAAAUAAAAAUGACUGGCCUGGCACGGUGCCACACCCUGUAAUCCCAGUGGUUUGGAAGGCUGACGCAGGAGGAUCGUGAGUUCAAAGCCAGCCUCAGCGCCUCAGCAAGACCCUGGCUCUAAAUAAAAUAUAAAAAGGGCUGGAGAUAUGUUCAGUGGUUAAGCCCCUUUGGUUCAAUCUCUGGUACAAAAAACAAAGAGAGAAUUGCCUCCCAAAGAGUUGCCUGAGUAGGAGAAUUGCAAAAGAAAACAGAAGAGUGAAGGACAGUUGGGAACAUUUUGCUGACAAAGUCAGAAAAAGAAUUUUUGAGCACGUUUGGACAUUGCUUUAUAGCUAAGAGUUGUAAAUGAGCCUCCUUGGUUGAGUGUGGAUGAUUAAAGCUUUACAUGAGUCCACUAUGGAACUCAUGGAACUUUACAUGAGUUUCUUGUUUGAGCAAGAAGGGUUAGUUUUUUUAUUUUAUGAAAUAGAGAAUCCCUAUCCCAUCUGAACAUAUAUUUAACAGGUUUGAAGGGGACCUGAGUUAGUGUCAGCUUCACAGAAGUUAUAAUGUCUCUGUCUUAUUCUGGGAAGGAGUGUGGGUAGUCCAUCUUCAUAUUCCCUGUAGUUCCUGGAAUACUGCUUAAAUUAGACCAACUCUAGAUAGAGCAAAGUGGAGAGAGGGGAAGGGAGGGGGAAUGGGGGUAGGAAGGACAGUGGAAUGAGAGGGACAUUAUUACCCUAAGUACAUGUAUAAAGACAUGAAUGGUGACUCUUCUUUGUGUACAACCAGAGAAAUGAAAAUUUGUGCUCUAUAUGUGUAAUAUGAAUUGUAACUCAUUCUGCU
Molecule: long non-coding RNA, 8997 nt
Filed under: Marmota monax (woodchuck)
Lineage: Eukaryota; Metazoa; Chordata; Mammalia; Rodentia; Sciuridae
Source: RNAcentral